Molecule: non-coding RNA, 174 nt
Filed under: uncultured Butyricicoccus sp.
Lineage: Bacteria; Bacillati; Bacillota; Clostridia; Eubacteriales; Butyricicoccaceae
Source: RNAcentral
CGGUGCCUCCUGCAUCUAGCAAGAGGGUAAAAGGGAAACAGGUGAACAAUCCUGUGCGAUCUCGUCACUGUGAACGGGGAGCGGAGAACGAUGCGUUUCGGCGCGGUCACUGGUCUGUGGACUGGUAAGGCUGUUCUUGUGCGAUGAGCCAAAGUCAGGAAACCUGCCGGAUGC